Molecule: transfer RNA, 73 nt
Filed under: Mustela putorius furo (domestic ferret)
Lineage: Eukaryota; Metazoa; Chordata; Mammalia; Carnivora; Mustelidae
Rfam family: tRNA
About the family: Transfer RNA (tRNA) molecules are approximately 80 nucleotides in length.
Source: Rfam by way of RNAcentral
ACCUGGCUGGCUCAGUCAGUAGAACAUGUGACUCUUGAUCUCAGGCUUGUGAGUUCAAGCCCCAUGCUGGGUA